RNAcentral lists this ribosomal RNA (497 nucleotides) under uncultured bacterium. Its description in RNAcentral is "partial 16S ribosomal RNA". It matches the Rfam family "Bacterial small subunit ribosomal RNA", at positions 28 to 507 of the family's 1533-position model. The record is from RNAcentral.
GAUGAACGCUGGCGGCGUGCCUAAUACAUGCAAGUCGAGCGAACAGACGCGGAGCUUGCUCCUCUGACGUUAGCGGCGGACGGGUGAGUAACACGUGGAUAACCUACCUAUAAGACUGGGAUAACUUCGGGAAACCGGAGCUAAUACCGGAGAAUACAUUGAACCGCAUGGUUCAAUAGUGAGAGACGGUGUUGCUGGAUCUUAUAGAUGGAUAUGCGCCGCAUUAGAUAGUCGGUAAGUUAACGGCUUACCAAGGCAACGAUGCGUAGCCGACCUGAGAGACUGAUAGCCCACCCGAGAGCGUAGACAGCGACCAGGCGCCUGAGGGAGGCCGCAGUAGGGAAUCGUACGCAGUGGUCGAGAACUUGGCGGAGUGACGCGGAGUGAGAGACGAAGAUCUUCGGUUCGGGAAACUCGGUUAUUAGGGAAGAACAAAUGUGUACGGAGACGUACCCUGCGUGACGGUACCUGGUCAGGAAGCCACGGCUAACUACGUG